UUUCCUUCCGUAGCACUUACUGAAGCUUUAGCAGCCUGAAAGGGCGAAUGCUAGCGACUAUAAAUAAAUAUGGCGUUCUUAAAUGCUAGUCUCUAUUAUCAGAGGCGACAUUGCCAAAUUGUCGGGGACACCCUAAAGAUCUUGAUACCAAGCUGGCAGUCGAAAGACGCCAGUGGCCGAGCUAACAGCCCUGGGUAUGGUAAUAAUUCAAGAUAUGCAACAAUGGGUAAUCCGCAGCCAAGUCCUAAACUACGCAAGUAGCAUGGAUGCAGUUCACAGGCCAAAUGGUGAUGGGUAGAUUAGUAUAUCUGCUUAAGAUAUGGUCGGUCCCGCUGUGAGAGCAGAUGGGGAAGCUACAUUAAGCAUAUUGAGUAUGCAUAAACGUAACUGAAAACGUUCCGUAGGUGAACCUGCGGAAGGAUCAUUA
Molecule: ribosomal RNA, 427 nt
Filed under: Lipomyces starkeyi
Lineage: Eukaryota; Fungi; Ascomycota; Lipomycetes; Lipomycetales; Lipomycetaceae
Description: partial 18S rRNA
Rfam family: Group I catalytic intron (bases 51-347)
About the family: Group I catalytic introns are large self-splicing ribozymes. They catalyse their own excision from mRNA, tRNA and rRNA precursors in a wide range of organisms.
Source: RNAcentral